GACGAACGCUGGCGGCGUGCUUAACACAUGCAAGUCGAACGGAAGGGCCCUGCGUUUGUGGGGGUCUCGAGAGUCGCACGGGGGAGUAACACGUGAGUAACCUGCCCUUGACUUUGGGGUAACUUCAGGGAACUGGGGCGAAUACAGGAUAGGAGCCCCUGCUGCGCGGUGGGGGUUGGAAAGUUUCGGCGGGUGGGGAUGGACUCGCGGCUUAUCAGCGUGUUGGUGGGGGAGUGGCUGACCAAGGCUUUGACGGGUAGCCGGCCUGAGAGGGUGACCGGCCACAUUGGGACUGAGAUACGGCCCAGACUCCUACGGGAGGCAGCAGUGGGGAAUAUUGCACAAUGGGCGGAAGCCUGAUGCAGCAACGCCGCGUGCGUGAUGCCGGCCUGCGGGUUGUAAACCGCUUUCGCCUGUGACGAAGCGUGAGUGACGGUAAUGGGUAAAGAAGCACCGGCUAACUACGUG
Molecule: ribosomal RNA, 468 nt
Filed under: uncultured bacterium
Lineage: Bacteria
Description: partial 16S ribosomal RNA
Rfam family: Bacterial small subunit ribosomal RNA
Source: RNAcentral